This 223-nucleotide long non-coding RNA is filed under the name Capsicum annuum. RNAcentral's name for it is "long non-coding RNA (CANN_LNC015243)". The record is from RNAcentral. Lineage: Eukaryota; Viridiplantae; Streptophyta; Magnoliopsida; Solanales; Solanaceae.
GGAGGGUAAGAUGUACGCAGUCCAUACCUCUACCUCUAAAGAAGUAGAAAGGCUGUUUCCGAUAGACCCCCGGCUCGGGACACAGAAUACUAAACAAAUUCAUAGUAAAGCAUGGAACAAGAUGGCAUAACAUAAAUACGACACCCACAAGUAAUAGUAAACAGAGAAAAGUAAACAGAUUCGUAAUAAAGCAUGAAACAAGGUAUCAUAACAAGAAUAAUAC